RNAcentral lists this RNase P RNA (366 nucleotides) under Candidatus Saccharimonadota bacterium. Its description in RNAcentral is "RNase P RNA component class A". It matches the Rfam family "Bacterial RNase P class A". Rfam says of the family: Ribonuclease P (RNase P) is a ubiquitous endoribonuclease, found in archaea, bacteria and eukarya as well as chloroplasts and mitochondria. Its best characterised activity is the generation of mature 5'-ends of tRNAs by cleaving the 5'-leader elements of precursor-tRNAs. Cellular RNase Ps are ribonucleoproteins. The record is from RNAcentral. Lineage: Bacteria; Candidatus Saccharimonadota.
UCAGAUUAUCGGCUAAUCGCGUGUGGUAACACACGAGGAAAGUCCGGGCAGCAUAGGGAAAUGGCAGUCGCUAACGGCGACCGAGCGCGAGCUUAGGGAAAGUGCCACAGAAACUAAACCGCCAGCUUGCUGGUAAGGAUGAAACGAGUAGGGUAAAAGCCUACAUUGCCUGUCGGUGACGACAGGGAACGGUAAACCCUGCCUGCUGCAAGGAAAUGGAUUCUCUGAGGCCUAAAGCCUAGAGCGUCCCGCUGAGAAUUCAUUACAAAAACCGCUUGAGCCAGCGGGCAACCGCUGGCCUAGAUAGAUGAUUAGCAGUACUGGUUCGCUAGUAUACAAAACCCGGCUUACAGAUAGUCUGACAUA